GGACCUUUUUUUGUUUUUGUUUUUUGUUGAACAGAUAGUUUCAUUAAGGGACAAAGGCCGGAGAGCCAAGAAAGGCCCAAAACUGUUGUACAAACAAUUCUUGCUAAUUCCAACUGAACCAGGUACCCACCCGAGAGUUAACUGGACAAAAGCAAAAUUGAAACCAGCUGACUAAUUGCGGAGGGCCAUCAGUCUUCAGUACUCCAAGUAAGUAAGGAUGGUGGUGGCGUGUUUGGCAAGCGAAGCCACAGUGUGAGCGACUGAAUUCGCUUCUCGGGGGAUCCAAUCCCAGCAUAUUUCAGACAACUGGAGGCUUCUUCUUCUUCUUCUAGUCUCUUCAAUUAAUUAAUUAAAGGCAGAAUUGACCGAUCUAGCACAGCACACUGGUGAUUUCGGAUCAUCACUCCUAAACCACAAGCAGACCAAGCAGCAUCGCAAUUGAUCUUUACGAAUCCAUCUGAUAGAUUGAGCAGGGGGUUGAAGCGGAGGGGCUGAGAUCAAGCUUCUUGUUCCCCAAUAUUCAUAAGCCAAAUUUGAUCCACUUCUGAUGAUCAAUUGAGGACUCGGCGGCUUCUUUUGGUAAAUAAAUUCACACCUCGCAGUCCAAAUCUUCCAGCACUCCAAUAGAAGCUUAUCAAGGCACCAUUCUUGUUCCAUGGCCAUAUGAGGCGAUCGGAACCUUCACCAUCACCAAUAGGUAAAGACAGAAAUGUGGCCAAGAGACCAAGCCCGGGUAUCCCAAUCAAUCAAUGAGUAGACUCAAUCAGGGUAGUUUAAGCCCGGGUAUCCCUAACCGAAGUUUGGGGUUAUAAGUGGCCAGCUCUACCGGUACCAGCCUGGUUUUGUUGCAUAUAUGAUUAACCAAGUCUUUGAUUAACCGUAAACUUUAUACAUUCGCUUUGAUACUUAGAUAAGAUAAUCAAGCCUUUGAUUUCCUUCACUUUUGCUAUUGUUCAUGCAGAUGUUCGAUGGGCACUAUUGUUUAAUUUUGGACUCCUAUUCCUGGUAAAUAUUUAUAUUGGGGGGCUCCAUUUGUCAUGGUGCCUUUGAUCAAGAAAUGGAGACAAGACAUUUGUCAAUGCACAGAACUAUCGAAGAUUUUCUGCACUAUGGUAGCAACUUUGUGCCAAUAAGGUAUUCUUACUCAGAAAUUAAGAUGUCCAACAAUUUCAAGAACAAGCUGGGUGAAGGAGGCUAUGGCUCUGUAUUUAGAGGAGUAUUACGUAGUGGCCGUUUUGGAGCCAUUAAGAUGUCUGGGAAAUUCCAAAUCAAAUGGACAAGAUUUUGUGAGCAAAGUGGCUACAAUUGGAAGGAUUUACAAUGUAUAUCAAUGUGGUGCAACUUGUUGGUUAUUGUCUUGAGGGAUCAAAACGUGCUCUAGUCUAUUAUUUCAUGUCUAAUGGGUCACUUGACAAAUACAUUUAUUCCAAUGCAGAGACUACCCCGUAAAGUGUCAAGAAAAGGUAUGAGAUCCCUCUCAGAGUGGCUCAAGGGAUCAAAUAUCUUCAUGAUCGAAGUUGUGAGAUGCAAAUUUUGCAUUUUGAUAUCAAGCCUCACAACAUUCUUCUUGAUGAGAAUUUCAUUCAAAAAAUUUCUGGCUAUGGUCUUGCAAAGUUAUAUGCAAUUGAUGAUUGUAUUGUGUCUUUGACGGCAGCACGGGGGACAAUUGGAUAUAUUGUGCCAGAGUUGUUCUACAAAAAUAUCGGAGGUGGCAUGUAUAUAGUUGAUGUGUAUAGUUUUGGAAUGUUGUUGAUGGAAAUGGCAAGUAGACGGAAAAAUUUCAAAGAAUAAAGGAUGCUUCACAUCUACUGUAUCUGAGUGCAUCUCAUGGUGUUCAUAAUCUUCAGCAGUUCCAGAAACUAAAGGAUGCUAUUUAAUUAAACAACAUCUACACCAUCAUCUAUCCCCAUGCUCUAUGGCUGCUGUCAAUGUUGUUGUAUCCCUAAGUAUACAGGUUGCGAAUUCUAAUGUUCGUUAAAAUGCCCUGCAUUUACUUUUGGACUUGUUCCCUCUUCAAGAUCCUGAUUCGAUUGAAGAGGUCAAAGAUUUAUGGCUUGAUAAGCAGUUCUUUUUAUUGGCGAAAUUACUUGUAGAUGAUUGUCCAGAGGUGAGAGUGGUUGCAGUGGAAAGUUCUUGUCAAAUUCUUCCAUCUGUUUUGGGAAGUAAUCCCUUUGCGUACCAUCACAAAGUUAGUUACUAGAAUUUUUGAUGAUAUGUCACAUGAUACAAGUCAUGAGGUUAGGCUUUCCACACUGAAUGGCACUAUGCGUUUGUUUGGCAAUCCCCCAUGUCAUCAAUUUCUUAAUGUGCUUCUACCCAGAUUGGGGCAUUUGAUGAUGGACAAUGUCCUAUCAAUAAGAGUUGCCAUGGCAGAUCUCCUCCUUAUUACGGGAUAUUCAAAAUUUCCAUUUCCAUAAGGUAGUGAAGUUAGAUGAACUAUUAUCAACCCUUGAAAAUGAUCAACCUCAAGUUGCUCAGAAAAUUGCAAGGUUGCUUAUGCCAUCAUACUUUCCCUCAAAAGAAACAGUUGAAACAGCAUGCAAUCGUUGUACUACAAUUGUAAAAAGGUCUCUGAUGGCUGGAGCAAGGUUUUGUGAAUUUGCUGCGUCCCAAGGGGCAUCUCUUAAGUCUCUGAUGGAACUUGUUAGGGUAAUGAUUACUUGGUCCUUACGCUUAAUAAUCUGUAUGAACAACAAGUUGAGGGUUUACUUACUUCUUCUUCCAACCUUUGCAAUACCCUAGCUGGUGAGCCAGUUUUCAAGAAAGAGCUUAAAUAAUUAUUUGAUGGUGAAAAGUUGAAGUGCUUGAUUGCUGCGGCACCUACUGGGCCUGCUCAGUCUUGUGUUUUCAACAUUGUUUCAACUGUCUCUAGCUUCUGAUGAUGUGGCAGGAUAUCUUGAUGAAUGUAUGCAUCUGGUGACUAAUUGUAGUGGUUUAUCCAAAAAUGUGGCUGGAGAAGCAAUCUAAAGUGAGGUCUGCUCACAAUUUGUUGCUGUCUUGUGAUGCGAUUGAUGGUAUGCUGGAAGCACUAACAGCACUUCUGCAGAAAUCAGCCUAUCGUUGCCAUAUUAAAUAUGGCAGUGAAAUUAAGAACUUGAGUGUUUUCUCUGCGAAAAGAAGGAAAUCAAAGUCCUCUGGCAAAGUUUCAGCUCGACAUAAACAUGUUAGUAGAAAAAAAGUCACCAGUUUUGGGGAGGAUUAUUCAGUUGCGGCAGGAAUAGCCUGGCAAAUCAGGGACUCGCUUGUAUCUGUCAAUAUUCAGAAGGCUAUAUUGGGAUCUCAAACUCUAGAAUCCUUACUUAUAUUAAAGGUCAUUUCCGAGGUCAGCAUUCUGGCAUGCAUUAUGAAUGUAUGGACACAUUUCCUGCUUCAGCAUAUACAGAUCUUGCGCUGCAUUCAUCUUUUCAAAAUGUCUCUUCCAAUAAAAAUGAUAGGACUCAUUCAUCAGGGUCUACUUUGGAGACCGAGUUGGAACAGGCAUUGAAUCAUGUGCUUAAUUGUACAGAGAAGCGAUGUGGAGUAGGCUAUUCUGGACAGUCUACCAGAGUUUAUUCAGAAUCUAAGCAUGGUAGCGAUAAGUCUGCAAGUUGUCGUGAGAAAAGGCACAGAGAACCUCAAACACAUGCCUCCAUUCCAAGCAAGAUCAGUGAAGUUGAAUGGUGAAUUGGCUUUCAGUCUUCAAUGAUUGAGUAGGCACUAUCUACGUUCAUUCGACAUGGUCUUCUGCGCUAUUACACAUUGCGUAGCUUGGUAUUUAUUUGUUCAAGGUUACAGUCUUUUUUUGUGGAUAUCAUUUAAAAUUAAACAAUGAAGGUGCAAAGCAUAUCCACUUUGUUCUAUGGUAAAUAUAUUUCAUUUCUUCACACAAGUAGUGUUUAAUAUAAUCAACAAUUUAUGCAGGAAAUGUAUAUACUGAACCAAAGAAGGUGGCCAACAAGGUGAAGAUGCUUACUGCAGUCCAAAGGUUCAUGAUCGAUGCUGCAUUGCUGCUACAAUAGGUUUUGCUCCUCAAGCUCAGGAAAGGUGCUUAACAUCCACAUCAGGUUAUAUACGAUGUGUCAUAUGACUCAUAUCUACUUUGGAGCAACAACCUUGUGAGAAAAUUGAUUUUGAGGAGGAAGAUUUGAAAAGCUCCUUCACCUAUGCAGCAAAGUUGCUUAAUCUAGCUCUUAAAGAUGCGACUGAAGCUUCACCACCUCCAGCAGAAGCUUCUGAUCUUGCCAACUAUAUGCUUGAUUUAAUCAUCUCGAUUGAAUUAUACUUGGGCAGUUGGGCUAAACCUAUGCUGGACAGUUGGCGGCAGCAGUGAAGCCUUGGGUUCCUGACUUGAUUUUGGCAUUAGGAUCUGGGCACAUUAUGAAACAGAUUAUGGGAGAAGAUCGCAAACGAGUCCAGCUAAUCGCAUCAGAGUCCACUUUCCAUCAUGGCUCUUAAUGUAAAGUCAAGACUGAGCUCUCUGAAGCUAGUGAACCUGAUGAGUUUCCUGCUUUGAAGAAACUUCUUACAAUGAUUGUCAAAUUGUUAAAAUAAAAUCUCAGCAUGCAGGGUGUGUCUGGGGCGAUCUUCAUGAUUGGCUCUAUAGUAGGGCUGGAAAAGAAAAAUUUUAGGCUAGUUUCCGGACUUCUACGCUUCGUAUGCCUGAAGAUAUUUAAGCAUGAUGAUAGAGAAUGGGGUGACUUGAUGUUGGCAUUUCUGCAAGAUAUCUACCCUCAGAUUGAGAGAGAAAUCGAGGAAGAGUGUGAUGAAGAUGGAAGGGAAAAACUGGAAAAAGCCAAGGACUUGCUGGAACCUAUUUGAUUGCAUCAUCCGCAUGAAACUGGGAGGUUCUCUAUGAUGGAGGAGUAGAUGGAGAACAUGAGCCUCACAUGUAUGUGAACAUGAUUUUCCCCCUGCAUCCCUUAGCUUCAUAUGUAUAUGUUAUGUUAUGGAUUGAAAAAAAUCUCUAGCCAUAAAUCCAAGAUUGUUGCCUGCACAUGCCCUAUAGUAGUAUAGAUCAUUUGUGCCACCUGAUUCUGAUGGGGAGGAGUAUAGAUUGUGAAAGUAGGUGUUGACCUUUUCAUUUUGUCCCAUUUCUCUUUUCUA
Rosa chinensis is the source of this 5082-nucleotide long non-coding RNA. RefSeq lists it as uncharacterized. The transcript is spliced from 8 exons. Lineage: Eukaryota; Viridiplantae; Streptophyta; Magnoliopsida; Rosales; Rosaceae. The record is from RefSeq and is a predicted model, not a curated record.